RNAcentral lists this ribosomal RNA (341 nucleotides) under uncultured bacterium. RNAcentral's name for it is "bacterial SSU rRNA". It matches the Rfam family "Bacterial small subunit ribosomal RNA", at positions 28 to 355 of the family's 1533-position model. The record is from RNAcentral.
GAUGAACGCUAGCUACAGGCUUAACACAUGCAAGUCGAGGGGAAACGAUAGAGAAAGCUUGCUUUUUCUAGGCGUCGACCGGCGCACGGGUGAGUAACGCGUAUCCAACCUGCCCAUCACUUGGGGAUAACCUUGCGAAAGUAAGACUAAUACCCAAUGACGUCUCUAGAAGACAUCUGAAGGAGAUUAAAAGAUUUAUCGGUGAUGGAUGGGGAUGCGUCUGAUUAGCUUGUUGCGGGGUAACGCCCACCAAGGCGACGAUCAGUAGGGGUUCUGAGAGGGAAGGUCCCCCCACAUUGGGAACUGAGACACGGUCCAAAACUCCUACGGGAGGCAGCAGU